GACAGAGGUGCCAAGCGUUAGGCGGAAUCACUGGGCUUAAAGCGUGUGUAGGCGGGCGAUCAAGUACCUUGUUAAAUCCCACGGCUCAACCGUGGAACUGCUGGGUAUACUGGUUGUCUUGAGCCAGCUAGGGGCGAGCGGAACAGACGGUGGAGCGGUGAAAUGCGUAGAUAUCGUCUGGAACGCCGAAGGUGAAAACAGCUCGCUGGGGCUGCGCUGACGCUGAGACACGAAAGCCAGGGGAGCGAACGGG
RNAcentral lists this ribosomal RNA (253 nucleotides) under uncultured bacterium. RNAcentral's name for it is "partial 16S ribosomal RNA". It matches the Rfam family "Bacterial small subunit ribosomal RNA", at positions 524 to 776 of the family's 1533-position model. The record is from RNAcentral.